Molecule: ribosomal RNA, 454 nt
Filed under: uncultured Sphingobacteriales bacterium
Lineage: Bacteria; Pseudomonadati; Bacteroidota; Sphingobacteriia; Sphingobacteriales
Description: bacterial SSU rRNA
Rfam family: Bacterial small subunit ribosomal RNA
Source: RNAcentral
ACAAGCGGUGGAGCAUGUGGUUUAAUUCGAUGAUACGCGAGGAACCUUACCUGGGCUCAAAUGUAUGUUGACGUAUUCUGAAAGGGAUACUUCUUCGGACAAUAUACAAGGUGCUGCAUGGUGUCGUCAGCUCGUGCCGUGAGGUGUCGGGUUAAGUCCCAUAACGAGCGCAACCCCUAUCAUUAGUUGCCAUCAGGCCAAGCUGGGGACUCUAAUGAAACUGCCUACGCAAGUAGUGAGGAAGGUGGGGAUGACGUCAAAUCAGCACGGCCCUUACGUCCAGGGCUACACACGUGCUACAAUGGCCGGUACAAAGGGCAGCUACCUGGUGACAGGAUGCUAAUCUCAAAAGCCGGUCUCAAUUCGGAUCGGAGUCUGCAACCCGACUCCGUGAAGCUGGAAUCGCUAGUAAUUGCGCAUCAGCCAUGGCGCGGUGAAUACGUUCCCGGGCCUU